Molecule: ribosomal RNA, 497 nt
Filed under: uncultured bacterium
Lineage: Bacteria
Description: partial 16S ribosomal RNA
Rfam family: Bacterial small subunit ribosomal RNA
Source: RNAcentral
GAUGAACGCUGGCGGCGUGCCUAAUACAUGCAAGUCGAGCGAACAGACGAGGAGCUUGCUCCUCUGACGUUAGCGGCGGACGGGUGAGUAACACGUGGAUAACCUACCUAUAAGACUGGGAUAACUUCGGGAAACCGGAGCUAAUACCGGAUAAUAUAUUGAACCGCAUGGUUCAAUAGUGAAAGACGGUUUUGCUGUCACUUAUAGAUGAAUCCGCGCCGCAUUAGCUAGUUGGUAAGGUAACGGCUUACCAAGGCAACGAUGCGUAGCCGACCUGAGAGGGUGAUUGGCCACACUGGAACUGAGACACGGUCCAGACUCCUGCGGGAGGAAGCAGUAGGGAAUCUUCCGCAAUGGGCGAAAGCCUGACGGAGCAACGCCGCGUGAGUGAUGAAGGUCUUCGGAUCGUAAAACUCUGUUAUUAGGGAAGAACAAAUGUGUAAGUAACUAUGCACGUAUUGACGGUACCUAAUCAGAAAGCCACGGCUAACUACGUG